UCGAGAAUCAUUGUCAAUGGGCGAAAGCCUGAACGUGCGACGCCGCGUGUGGGAUGAAGGCCCUUGGGUUGUAAACCACUGUCAGGGGGAAGGAAUAAGGCUGGCGACACCAGCUGAUGACUUAUACCCCAGAGGAAGUGACGGCUAACUACGUGCCAGCAGCUGCGGUAAUACGUAGGUCACGAACGUUAUUCGGAAUCACUGGGCUUAAAGGGCGCGUAGGCGGCUUAAUAAGUUACGGCUGAAAUCC
Molecule: ribosomal RNA, 250 nt
Filed under: uncultured bacterium
Lineage: Bacteria
Description: partial 16S ribosomal RNA
Rfam family: Bacterial small subunit ribosomal RNA
Source: RNAcentral